This is a long non-coding RNA of Strigops habroptila (Kakapo), 119 nucleotides long. RefSeq lists it as uncharacterized. The record is from RefSeq and is a predicted model, not a curated record. The transcript has 3 exons. Lineage: Eukaryota; Metazoa; Chordata; Aves; Psittaciformes; Psittacidae.
UUCCUCAGGGAUCACAGUAACAGAACAAGGGGUAACGUGUUUAAACUAAACAGGAGAAGUUCAGAUUGGAUAUAAGAAAGAAGUUCUUUACUGUGAGGGUGGUGAGGCGCUGGCACAGG